UAUCUUUGAAUCAUUACGUAAAUCAUAUCGGAAUAUUAUAAAAUUUAUUUUCUAGAUAUUUUUAACACUUUGCAUCAAAUUUGAUAAAACCGAUUGUUGAUUUGAAAGUCCUAAUAUUGAAAACCACUACAACAAAAACAGUCUAUAGCGACACUUUUAAAUGUAGGUACAUGUUAAAAAAGUGCUGCUAGCUAAAAUUACCGACACUUUUAAAAAGUGUUGCUAUAUGUGGGGUN
RNAcentral lists this long non-coding RNA (236 nucleotides) under Ananas comosus (pineapple). RNAcentral's name for it is "long non-coding RNA (ACOM_LNC025306)". Lineage: Eukaryota; Viridiplantae; Streptophyta; Magnoliopsida; Poales; Bromeliaceae. The record is from RNAcentral.